RNAcentral lists this ribosomal RNA (497 nucleotides) under uncultured bacterium. RNAcentral's name for it is "partial 16S ribosomal RNA". It matches the Rfam family "Bacterial small subunit ribosomal RNA", at positions 28 to 507 of the family's 1533-position model. The record is from RNAcentral.
GAUGAACGCUGGCGGCGUGCCUAAUACAUGCAAGUCGAGCGAACAGAUGAGGAGCUUGCUCCUCUGACGUUAGCGGCGGACGGGUGAGUAACACGUGGAUAACCUACCUAUAAGACUGGGAUAACUUCGGGAAACCGGAGCUAAUACCGGAUAAUAUAUUGAACCGCAUGGUUCAAUAGUGAAAGACGGUUUUGCUGUCACUUAUAGAUGGAUCCGCGCCGCAUUAGCUAGUUGGUAAGGUAACGGCUUACCAAGGCAACGAUGGGUAGCCGACCUGAGAGGGUGAUCGGCCACACUGGAACUGAGACACGGCCCAGACUCCUACAGGAGGCAGCAGUAGGGAAUCUUCCGCAAUGGGCGAGAGCCUGACGGAGCAACGCCGCGUGAGUGAUGAAGGUCUUCGGAUCGGAAAACUCUGUUAUUAGGGAAGAACAAAUGUGUAAGUAACUAUGCACGUCUUGACGGUACCUAAUCAGAAAGCCACGGCUAACUACGUG